AUUGAGCGCUGGCGGCAGGCCUAACACAUGCAAGUCGAGCGGAUGAAGGGAGCUUGCUCCUGGAUUCAGCGGCGGACGGGCGAGUAAUGCCUAGGAAUCUGCCUGGUAGUGGGGGAUAACGUCCGGAAACGGGCGCUAAUACCGCAUACGUCCUGAGGGAGAAAGUGGGGGAUCUUCGGACCUCACGCUAUCAGAUGAGCCUAGGUCGGAUUAGCUAGUUGGUGGGGUAAAGGCCUACCAAGGCGACGAUCCGUAACUGGUCUGAGAGGAUGAUCAGUCACACUGGAACUGAGACACGGUCCAGACUCCUACGGGAGGCAGCAGUGGGGAAUAUUGGACAAUGGGCGAAAGCCUGAUCCAGCCAUGCCGCGUGUGUGAAGAAGGUCUUCGGAUUGUAAAGCACUUUAAGUUGGGAGGAAGGGCAGUAAGUUAAUACCUUGCUGUUUUGACGUUACCAACAGAAUAAGCACCGGCUAACUUCGUG
RNAcentral lists this ribosomal RNA (484 nucleotides) under uncultured bacterium. RNAcentral's name for it is "partial 16S ribosomal RNA". It matches the Rfam family "Bacterial small subunit ribosomal RNA", at positions 30 to 507 of the family's 1533-position model. The record is from RNAcentral.